RNAcentral lists this ribosomal RNA (492 nucleotides) under uncultured bacterium. RNAcentral's name for it is "partial 16S ribosomal RNA". It matches the Rfam family "Bacterial small subunit ribosomal RNA", at positions 28 to 507 of the family's 1533-position model. The record is from RNAcentral.
GACGAACGCUGGCGGCGUGCUUAACACAUGCAAGUCGAACGGUGAAGCGCCUUCCUUUUUGGUGGGUGUGGAUGAGUGGCGAACGGGUGAGUAACACGUGAGUAACCUGCCCCCUUCUUCUGGAUAACCGCAUGAAAGUGUGGCUAAUACGGGAUAUUCUGGGUCUGUCGCAUGAUGGGUCUGGGAAAGAUUGUUUCGGUGGGGGAUGGGCUCGCGGCCUAUCAGCUUGUUGGUGGGGUGAUGGCCUACCAAGGCGGUGACGGGUAGCCGGCCUGAGAGGGUGGACGGUCACACUGGGACUGAGACACGGCCCAGACUCCUACGGGAGGCAGCAGUGGGGAAUAGUGCACAAUGGGCGCAAGCCUGAUGCAGCGACGCCGCGUGAGGGAUGGAGGCCUUCGGGUUGUGAACCUCUUUCGCCAGUGAAGCAGGCCUGCCUCGUUUGUGGGUGGGUUGACGGUAGCUGGAUAAGAAGCGCCGGCUAACUACGUG